CAACAUUAUGAUAUCUUUGUGGUCAUUGUAGGUUUUUGAUAUAGAAAAUGGAUUAGUAGCUGAGCUAAUGAGGGUGUUAGGAAAGCCGUAACUUUUGGAUGAAUCCACACACCCAUGGGAGCAUUGUUUGCCAGUCUGUCUUUAUAAAGGAACAGGGGAGACAAGCUUUCGCUUGAGUUGGUUUGGUGGCCACAAAGCUCCACCAAAAGCCAAUCAGUGCCCUCCUCUCCUCUCCUCUCCUCUCCUCUCUCCCUUCAGCCAUGAGAUCCUUCAGAUCUCAGACAGCAGCAGAAGGAAUAGAAUAAGGAAUCUAGGGGGAGAAAAGGAGAUGGAAAAAGAUUGAUAGGCCUGGAUUCUUGAUUCAUUCACCGCACUUCUUCUCUACCUUUCUCUUUUAUACUCUCUGCAAAUGAAGAAAGGUCGCACCUUUGUCACUGCAUCUGCUAUUUCUCUUGGUUUCCCUUGUCGUCUUGGGCCUGGUGACUCGAGGUUUUCUAGGGUUUAGGUUUUACGACAGGGAUCAUUGUGCUUGGACUCCUCGCUUGGUAGGUGCUUGUGCUUCUUCCAAGCUUCCAUCUUUCUCCUUGAUCUGCUUCUCCGAACAAAGGUGUGUUUUGGGUCAAGCAACUCCAUCCUUCCUUCUCGGUUGGUUCUUGUGCACAAGAUCCAGCUCAAGAUCGGAUUUUUGUGAUCAAAGGGAAGGCUCUCGGGGGUGCCGGAUGAAGACAACAAGAUCGUGGACGGAUGUCCUUCCUUGCAGCACGAACUGGUUCGUUCGCCAGGAAAACGGCGGGAGGUGGACUCAGGAGGAGAACAAGCGCUUCGAGGACGCCCUGGCAAAAUUCGACGGAGACACCCCGGACCGUUGGGAAAAGGUGGCGGCUUUGAUCCCUGGGAAGACGGUGCCAGAUGUGCUUAGCCAUUACCGGGAAUUGGUGGACGACGUCACCGAGAUAGAAGCCGGCCGGGUCCCCUGUCCUGUGUACUACGGGACUUCAUCUUUUACACUGGACUGGGAGAACAGUUAUGAUUCCGAAGGAUGGAAGAACACUUACUGCGCCGGCGGCGGCGGCGGCGGCAAGCGAUCUGGUGCCAGAGCAUCUCAUCACGAGAGGAAGAAAGGAAUCCCUUGGACCGAAGAGGAGCACAGGCUGUUCUUGCUUGGACUGGACAAGUGUGGUAAAGGAGACUGGAGAAACAUCUCUAGAAAUUUCGUGAUGACCAGGACUCCUACUCAGGUGGCCAGUCAUGCCCAGAAGUACUUCAUCAGGCUCAACUCUGGCAGCAAAGACAAGAGAAGGACCAGCAUACAUGACAUUACUACUGUCGAUUUGCCUGAUAAUAAACCUCCCUCACCAUCUUCCCAACCAUCCACUGUUACCACACAAUCAAGUUUAGCUAUGACACCUUCAUUGUCAGGCCAAUUAUCCGCCAUUCUCGAUUCAGAUCAACUCGGUGAAGUAGCUAGUGUCUUCAAUCCAUCAUCACACGGCAAUAAACUCAUGCAGCGUCACUUUGGAAUAUCUCAACACAGGAUGAAACUACAACCUCAAAUGUUACCCUCGCUCAUGGAUGAGGUAUCGCUGAAUGUGACAUCCCAUAGAUAGAUGCUUGCUGAUGGAUCUUUUGGGAGGAUUGGCUGAUUCUGACCGCCUGGAAGUUUGAGGUUGAAAGAAAGAUUCGGAAUGCUUAAAUUCCCCAGCAUGUGGUUUCAUAGUUGAAGCUCAAAAGCUUUUGCUUCUCUGUAUGGUAAACCAUUUCUACAGUAUUGGAUAUCAGGAGUGUGACCUCAGCAACACAAUCUCCUGAUGACUCGUAUCCUAAUUAUCAUCAAGAGGGAGUGUUGCUUGUUGGAAUUGGAUUAAUCACCAUGCUUUGCCUUGUGGAUUAUUAGGGAAGCAAGGAUAUCGUGGGCUGUUCUUUCUCACCGGGCUUGAUCAAAGUCAUGCUACUCUUGUUGGGUUAUCAGAUGAGAGGAAGGGGCAUGCUUCCAUGUUAAAGCUGGUGUUGUAGAGCAACUCGGCAAUGGUCAUGACUCACUGACCGUCGUUUCCUAUGUUCCUAACUCUGCAACUCUGCAAUGUUAAAGCAUAUCCAAUUGUUUCCACAGAACUGCCGAUUCCUUGCUUCCAUCCAUAUGUUCUAACUCGAAUCAUCUGGAAUACCAGAUUGGAUGAGACGGCUACCUUUGGUGGCUGUGCAAUCGACAGUCAAAUAGUGCUCAUCCUUUGCUAUAA
RNA transcript from Musa acuminata AAA Group (dessert banana), 2237 nucleotides. It is a transcript of the gene named transcription factor DIVARICATA, with no coding region annotated. NCBI's taxonomy places the organism in Eukaryota, Viridiplantae, Streptophyta, Magnoliopsida, Zingiberales, Musaceae. The transcript has 3 exons. The record is from RefSeq and is a predicted model, not a curated record.